UACCCAGCAAUGGGAUGCGAAUCUCGAAAGCCUGUCUCAGUUCGGAUUGGAGGCUGAAACCCGCCUCCAUGAAGUUGGAUUCGCUAGUAAUCGCGCAUCAGCCAUGGCGCGGUGAAUACGUUCCCGGGCCUUGUACACACCGCCCGUCAAGCCAUGGGAGCCGGGGGUGCCUGAAGUUCGUGACCGCAAGGAGCGACCUAGGGCAAAACUGGUGACUGGGGCUAAGUCGUAACAAGGUAAC
RNAcentral lists this ribosomal RNA (241 nucleotides) under uncultured bacterium. RNAcentral's name for it is "partial 16S ribosomal RNA". It matches the Rfam family "Bacterial small subunit ribosomal RNA", at positions 1251 to 1500 of the family's 1533-position model. The record is from RNAcentral.